AUUAAACGCUGGCGGCAUGCCUUACACAUGCAAGUCGAACGGCAGCACGGGGGCAACCCUGGUGGCGAGUGGCGGACGGGUGAGUAAAGCAUCGGAACGUAUCCUGGAGUGGGGGAUAACGUAGCGAAAGUUACGCUAAUACCGCAUAUUCUGUGAGCAGGAAAGCAGGGGACCGCAAGGCCUUGCGCUCUUUGAGCGGCCGAUGUCAGAUUAGCUAGUUGGUGAGGUAAAGGCUUACCAAGGCGACGAUCUGUAGCGGGUCUGAGAGGAUGAUCCGCCACACUGGAACUGAGACACGGUCCAGACUCCUACGGGAGGCAGCAGUGGGGAAUUUUGGGACAAUGGGCGCAAGCCUGAUCCAGCCAUGCCGCGUGAGUGAAGAAGGCCUCGGGUUGUAAAGCGUCUUUC
Molecule: ribosomal RNA, 408 nt
Filed under: uncultured bacterium
Lineage: Bacteria
Description: bacterial SSU rRNA
Rfam family: Bacterial small subunit ribosomal RNA
Source: RNAcentral